Molecule: ribosomal RNA, 431 nt
Filed under: uncultured bacterium
Lineage: Bacteria
Description: partial 16S ribosomal RNA
Rfam family: Bacterial small subunit ribosomal RNA
Source: RNAcentral
CCUACGGGAGGCAGCAGUGAGGAAUAUUGGUCAAUGGAGGCAACUCUGAACCAGCCAUGCCGCGUGCAGGAUGACGGCCUAUGGAUUGUAAACUGCUUUUGUACGGGAAGCGGUACCGUAAGAAUAAGGAUCGGCUAACUCCGUGCCAGCAGCCGCGGUAAUACGGAGGAUCCGAGCGUUAUCCGGAAUUAUUGGGUUUAAAGGGUUCGUAGGCGGUUGAGUAAGUCAGUGGUGAAAUCUUAUAGCUUAACUAUAAAAUUGCCGUUGAUACUGCUUGACUUGAAUAGUAUGGAAGUAAUUAGAAUAUGUAGUGUAGCGGUGAAAUGCUUAGAUAUUACAUGGAAUACCAAUUGCGAAGGCAGAUUACUACGUCUAUUGACGCUGAUGAACGAAAGCGUGGGUAGCGAACAGGAUUAGAUACCCUUGUAGUC